This 406-nucleotide ribosomal RNA is filed under the name uncultured bacterium. Its description in RNAcentral is "bacterial SSU rRNA". It matches the Rfam family "Bacterial small subunit ribosomal RNA", at positions 355 to 776 of the family's 1533-position model. The record is from RNAcentral.
CAAGGAAUUUUGCGCAAUGGGCGAAAGCCUGACGCAGCAACGCCGCGUGGGGGAAGAAGACCCUCGGGUUGUAAACCCCUUUUGUUAGGGAAGAAGAUCUGACGGUACCUAACGAAUAAGCCUCGGCUAACUACGUGCCAGCAGCCGCGGUAAUACGUGGGAGGCGAGCGUUGUCCGGAUUUAUUGGGCGUAAAGAGCGCGUAGGCGGUCUGCUAAGUUAGGUGUGAAAUCUCCCGGCUCAACUGGGAGGCUGCAUUUAAUACUAGCGGGCUAGAGGUGAGUAGAGGAAAGCGGAAUUCCCGGUGUAGUGGUGAUAUGCGUAGAUAUCGGGAGGAACUCCAGUGGCGAAGGCGGCUUUCUGGGCUCCACCUGACGCUGAGGCGCGAAAGCGUGGGGAGCGAACCGG